ACAAAACGCGGGCAAUCAUCUCUUGGCCAUGGCCUGUGUGCGAGACUUUAACAAUUUAAAGAAACAGACUGAUCCCUACGUGUCCCGAAUGGUAUACGAUUCCAGAAUCGGACAAACGAAAGGUCGAGUCAGCUGUUACAUAUGAUUCUUAUACAUCGAAUGCUUUGGAAAUCUGCAGAUUAAAGGAUUCAAGGACUCUAAUGGAUACUAAAGAUUUUCAAGGAUUCUUGUCGAUUCCAGGACGUUUAUUGAGCCAGAUAUAGUCAUUUUAAGUAACAAUUGAAAGUACAUAAUAAUUUUCAUAAAAAUAAAUAAAU
This is a long non-coding RNA of Drosophila virilis, 317 nucleotides long. RefSeq lists it as uncharacterized. NCBI's taxonomy places the organism in Eukaryota, Metazoa, Arthropoda, Insecta, Diptera, Drosophilidae. The record is from RefSeq and is a predicted model, not a curated record.